RNAcentral lists this long non-coding RNA (7833 nucleotides) under Gossypium barbadense (sea-island cotton). Its description in RNAcentral is "long non-coding RNA (GBAR_LNC000633)". The record is from RNAcentral. Lineage: Eukaryota; Viridiplantae; Streptophyta; Magnoliopsida; Malvales; Malvaceae.
GGGACUUAACCCGGAUUUAGUAUCUCGCACAAAGGCCUUCGGAUCUUAAUCCGGAUAUAUUCACUUAGCACAAAGCCUUCGGGACUUAGCCCGGACAGCAUUCAAUUAAUCAUGCACAUCUAACAAUAAUUCAUGGCACAUUCAUAUUUCAUUUUCGUUUACGAAACUCAAACACAAGGCACAUAUUGUCCUUGCACAUUCGGCUCAAUAGCCACACAUAGAGCAUGAUUUAAUCACAUCGAAAUUUAAGCUCUCUUACUCAAGAACUUACCUCGGGUGUUGUCGAACGAUUCCGCUAGCUAUUCAACCACUUUUUCCUUCCCUUUAUCGGUUUUAUUUCCCCUUUGCUCUUGAGCUUAAUCAAACAAAUAAAUUGAUUUCAUCAUUUAGGCAUCAAAAGAUGAACACAAGGCACAUAGCCCAUAUUUAUACAUUAGACAUUAAAGUCUCAUACAUGCAAAAAUCAUGCAUCAACACAACAUAUUAGCUAAUUUCUUUCCCCUUGGCCGAAUAUGCAUGUCCAUUUUUGGGGUCGAUUUCAACACUUAAUACACACAUAUACACACUAGUAAAGCAUCCUCCCCCUUUUCAUCAAUUUAACACAUGCAUUGCUCAUUAACAUGCAAAGUUACAUUCGGCCUUAGCACACAUCUUGCUAGCCGAUUCUUCUCCAUUUAGCAACCAAUGCACAUAUGUGCUCACACAAAAAUGCUAAAAAGGAGGUUCAAGAAUCAUCAAGCCAUCAUCACAUGCAUCAUUAACAAGCUUCAUAUUUUGCAUGCAAUGGCAUUAACACAACCUCCACAUAGGCCGAAUCUUAACUCAUCCUCAUGCCUCAUCACCACAACAUCAAACAUCAACCAAGAAUGGUGCAUCCAUGGUCAAGUGCCAUUUCCAUCACAUAGCAAGAUUUAGACCAUGGGUUAGGUAGAACUCAAGCUAACAACUAAAACAUGCAUGCCUCUCAUGGAACAUCAUCAAACAUACCUUAGCCUAGCUACAUGCAUGGCCGAAUCUCUUCACCUUUCUUCUUCUUUCCUCCUUAAAAUUUUUGGCCAAGGAUGAACCAAAGGAUGAGAAAAUUUUUCUUUGUUUUUCUUUCUAGUUUUGGCAAGCAUGAAGAUGAGAAAAGGAUGAACAAAAUUCCCCCUUUCUCUUCUUUAGCUCACGGCAAUGGGGGGGACAAACACUACACACACAUUUUUUUUUCUUUUGUUUUCCAUUUCUUUAUUACCCAUACUCCUUAUUUUAUUCUUCCAUUAACAAAACAUGUUUCAUGACAUGUUUUGCCCAUCAUUCCUUGUCAUGGCCGGCCACUACUCAUUAGGGGGGGAAUUUGACAUGCAAGUCCCCCCUUUGUCCACAUGCACUAAUAGGUCCUCACACAUUGACCUAUCACAUUUUAGAAUUUUCUCACAUAAGUCCUAUUGACUAAAUUCACAUGAAAUCAACCAAAUUGAAGCUUGAAAUUUUCACACAUUCUUAAUUACAUAUUCUAGACAAUAAGUAUCACAUUCAAACAUUUCGGUGACUCGGUUUAGCGGUCCCGAAACCACUUCCCGACUAGGGUCAACUUUGGGCUGUCAGAACUCUCCCCCACUUAAGAAAUUUUCGUCCCCGAAAAUCUUACCGGUAAAUAGGUUUGGGUAUCGUUCUUUCAUCGAGCUCUCGGUCUCCCAAGUAGCUUCCUCGAUCCCGUGUUUGAGCCAUAACACCUUUACUAGCGGAACUCUUUUGUUUCGCAACUCCUUCACUUCACGAGCUAGGAUACGCAUCGGUUCUUCUUCAUAGCUCAUGUCGACUUGAAUUUCAACCUCCGAUGGGCUAAUUAUGUGCGAUGGAUCAGAUCGAUAGCGUCGAAGCAUCGAAACAUGAAAGACGUCAUGAAUCUUUUCAAGCUCCGGGGGCAUAAUCAAUCUAUACGCAACCGGACCAACUCGUUCGGAGAUUUCGUACGGCCCAAUGAAUCUUGGGCUCAACUUGCCCUUACGGCCGAACCUGAGUAUCUUUUUCCAAGGUGAAACCUUAAGGAACACUUUGUCUCCCACCUGAUACUCGAUGUCUUUUUGUUUCAAAUCUGCGUACGAUUUCUGACGAUCCGUGGCUACCUUCAGACUUUCACGGAUUACCUUUACUUUCUGUUCAGCAUCUCUAAUCAAAUCAACUCCGAAAAUUUUACUUUCACCGAGCUGGGUCCAAAACAAUGGUGUACGGCAUUUACGACCAUACAAAGCCUCGUAAGGUGCCAUCUUAAUACUUGAUUGAAAACUAUUGUUGUAAGCGAAUUCAAUCAAAGGUAAAUACCGUUCCCAUGAACUACUGAACUCGAGGAUGCAACAUCUCAACAUAUCCUCAAGUAUCUGAAUUAUCCGCUCGGAUUGACCAUCGGUUUGGGGGUGAAAAGCAGUGCUAAAAUGCAGCUUGGUACCCAGAGCUUCUUGCAAUUUCUUCCAAAAUCGUGAGGUGAAUCUCGGAUCUUUAUCCGACACGAUAGAAACAGGUACCCCGUGUAAUCUCACAAUUUGAUAAACGUACAAUUCAGCUAGUUUAUCCAAUGAAAAAUCCGUACGUACGGGGAUGAAAUGAGCCGACUUAGUCAGUCUAUCAACAACAACCCAUAUUGCAUCCUUCUUACUUGCUGACAAGGGCAGUCCGGACACAAAGUCCAUUGUGACUCGAUCCCAUUUCCACUCGGGUAUCAUGAUCGGCUGGAGUAAUCCUGAAGGCACUUGAUGUUCCGCUUUCACUUGUUGACAUAUUAAACAUCUCGAAACAAAGUCGGAGAUGUCCCGUUUCAUACCAUGCCACCAAAAUUGACGUUUCAAAUCGUUGUACAUUUUCGUACUCCCCGGGUGAAUUGACAUUCGGCUACAAUGGGCUUCGUUCAGAAUCAUCGAAAUGAGUUUCGAAUUCCUUGGAACACACAAACGAUUUCUGAACCUCAAACAAUCAUCAUCAUCAAUUUGAAACUCCGAUUCCUCGUUCGAAAAACACUUAGCCCGUUUUGCAACCAAUUCAUCAUCGACUUUCUGAGCUUCACGAAUUUGGUGAGUCAAUAAUGGUUUAGCUUUUAAUUCAGCUACCAACACAUUGUCUGGUAGAACAGACAAACGCACAUUCAUCGCUCGUAAAGCAAACAAUGACUUCCGGCUUAAGGCGUCCGCAACCACGUUAGCCUUUCCCGGGUGGUAAUCGAUGACAAGCUCGUAAUCUUUCAACAACUCAAGCCAACGUCUUUGCCGCAGAUUCAAGUCUCGUUGAGUCGUCAAAUAUUUGAGACUUUUGUGAUCCGAAAAUACAUGGCACUUCUCACCAAACAAAUGAUGUCGCCAUAUUUUCAAAGCAAAUACGAUGGCGGCUAGUUCGAGAUCAUGGGUCGGAUAAUUUCUCUCGUGUGGCUUCAAUUGUCUCGACGCAUAGGCCACAACUCGACCGUCUUGCAUCAAUACGCAACCCAACCCAAGUAGGGAUGCGUCACUAUAAAUGACAAACUCUUUACCCGAUUCGGGUUGCACUAAAAUUGGAGCUUCAGUCAAGUGAGUUUUCAGUUGAUCAAAACUUUUCUGACACUUCUCCGUCCAUUCGAACUUAACGUCCUUUUGAAGUAGCUUCGUCAUUGGUGUGGCUAUCAUCGAGAAACCUUUGACAAAUCGUCGGUAAUAACUGGCGAGCCCUAAAAAGCUCCGAUCUCAAAUCUAUUUUUGAGAACACUGAGGCUCCCUUCAGUUGGUCGAACAAAUCAUCGAUGCGCGGCAACGGAUAUUUGUUCUUUAUCGUCACUUUAUUCAGCUGACGAUAGUCAAUGCACAACCUCAUGGUUCCGUCCUUCUUUUUCACGAACAAUACUGGUGCACCCCAAGGUGAGAAACUUGGUCGAGUGAAACCUCUAUCCGUCAGUUCUUGCAACUAAGCUUUCAACUCCUUUAACUCGGUUGGUGCCAUACGAUACGGAGCUAUCGAAAUCGGCGUAGUCCCAGGUACAAGCUCAAUACCAAACUCCACCUCCCGAGCAGGUGGUAAACCCGGUAAUUCUUCCGGAAAAACAUCCGGGUAUUCAAAAACCACCGGCACAGAUACGGGUUUCUUUUCUAAUUCUUUGUCAUCAAGUACAUACGCAAGGUAUGCUUCGCACCCUUUUCUUACAUAUUUCUGUGCCAACAUUGCUGAUAUUAUAGCUGGCAUCCCCUCCAAGUCCGCAGACUCAAUUCGGACUACUUCGUUAUUUGCGCACCUCAAAUCAAUAGUCUUGCUCUUGCAAUUCACAAUCGCAUCAUGCGCGGUCAACCAAUCCAAACCAAGGAUAACAUCAAAUUCAUCAAACGGCAAAAGCAUCAAGUCCGCCGGAAAACAGGAACCUCGAAUUUCCAGGGGACAUUUCUUACACACUUUGUCGACAAGCACGUAAUGACCCAAGGGAUUUGACACCCGAAUUACGAACUCAGUAGACUCAAUAGGUAAAGUCUUACUGGAUGCUAAGGUUUCACAUAUGUAAGAAUGAGUAGAACCGGGGUCAAUCAAAGCAAUUACAUUAGUAUCAAAGAGAGUGAAUGUACCGGUAAUAACAUCAGGCGAAGAAGCAUCCUCGCGGGCACGUAUAGCAUAAGCUCUAGCAGGCGCACGAGCUUCGGAUCUGGUUAUAUCACCCCUAGAUCCUCUCUGACCACCACUAGCAUUGCCCGUAUUUCCAGAUGGUCUACCUCGAGCAGUUGUAGCACCCGGUUUCCCACUCUGAUUUUCAUUCUGUUCAAACAACCUCGGGCAAUCUAAAAUGAAGUGGUCAACUGAUCCGCACUUGUAACAGGAGCGGUCAGGGAAUCUACAACUCCCCGAAUGCCAUUUACCGCAAUAUCGACAUUUCGUUCUAUCUCGACGUUCAUUCCCAACACUGGCGACCGAAGUGCCUCGUGUACCCACAGGGGGUCGAUCACGAUCUAGUCCAAAAAGGCCCGAAGUACCUCUAAACUGGCCCGCAUCAUCUCGAAAUCUCUUCGAUGUCUGUUGAAGAGACCUUCCCGAGGAUCUUUUACGAAACUCUCCAGUUCCCUCAUCAACUCUUUGCUUUUCUUUUCUAAGCUCUUCGGCUUUACAAGCUCGUUCAACAAGUACCACGAACUCUCGUAUUUCAAGAACGCCAACGAACAUUUUUAUAUCUUCAUUCAGCCCAUCCUCGAAGCGUUUACACAUAAUAGCUUCGGACGAAACACAUUCCCGAGCGUAUUUGCUAAGUCUAACAAAUUUUCGCUCGUAAUCAGUAACCGACAUGGAGCCUUGCUUAAGCUCAAGAAAUUCCUUCCGUUUUUGAUCAACAAAUCUCUGACUGAUAUACUUUUUCCGAAACUCAGUUUGGAAAAACUCCCAAGUUACUUGCUCUCGGGGCACAAUAGAAGUCAGAGUACUCCACCAAUAGUAGGCAGAAUCACGUAGCAAGGAGAUAGCACACUUUAGGCAUUCAUCGGGUGUACAAGAUAGCUCAUCGAGUACCCGGAUAGUGUUGUCCAGCCAAAAUUCAGCUUGCUCGGCAUCAUCGCUAUCCAUAGCCUUAAAUUCAGUAGCCCCAUGUUUUCGGAUUCUGUCAACUGGGGGCUUAUUUGACCUUAUUUGGUCCGUUACCGGUGGUAUUGUAGGUGCGGGGGUAGUAUUUGUCGGGAAUGGAGGUUGUGGAACAGCCAUAUUAGUUCGAAUGUAUUGGUUGAACCAAUCAUUCAUCACGCUAUAGAAUGCUUGUCUAGCUUCAUCAUUCGGAUUACUAGCAUUAGGUUGAGAGUCUGCCGGCACUGUCCCUUGUGCGGGAGCAGGCGCUACACUCUCAAGAUCAUCAGCUACCUCUCGGUCACGAUCGGGAUCCAUUACUAUAAAUAAACACAUUUACUAUUGUCAGAAAUCACCACACUAUCAAGUAAUCACAUAAAAUGGCAUGUAUAGCUAGACCCAAAACAUUACGGUAGUCCUAGAAUCGACUAAACCGUAGCUCUGAUACCAAUAAAAUGUAACACCCCGAACCCGAGACCGACACCGGAGUCGGACACGAGAUGUUAACAAACUUUGAAAAAUUUUUCCAGACACUGCCCAGUCUGAGUACUAGUCUCUUCAAAACUCAUAUCUUGAGUUUCACAACUCAAAAAUCAGUUUUGUGAUUUUUCCCUGAAACUAGACUCAUGUCCCCACCUAUGUAUUUUUUUCUAGAAUUUUUGGUCGGGCCAAUUAGUACAGUUUAUUAGUCAAAGUCUCCCAUGUUACAGGGGUCGACUACACUGACCUUUUCCCAUUACGACUUGGAUAUCUCUCUGCACAGAGCUUCAAUACUGAUGCCGUUUGUUUCUAUGGAAACUAGACUCAGAGAGGAAUCCAUACAUAUAUGGUAUGACCCCUAAUUAUCUCUGGUCAAUUUAUAGUGAAUUUCCAAAGUCGGAACAGGGAAUCCAGAAACUGUUCUGGCCCUGUUCCACAAGAACCCGAAUAUCUCUUACUGUACUGUUCCUAUGAUUGUUUCGUUACUUCCAUAUGAAAGUAGAUUCAUCAAGGUUCGAUUACAUAAUUUAUUCACUAUUUAAUUCCACUCCUACGAAUUCUUGUGAUUUUUCCAAUCCACACCACUGCUGCUAUCAGCUUCUGUUUUCAAGGUAAACCUUACCUAAUUUGGGGUUUCAUGGACCAACUAGGGCCUUGUCAUACAUAAGCCCACAUGUGAUCAUACUUAGCCAUUCCAGUGGCUGAUCACUUGCUCAACACUUCCAUUCCAACUAUAGUUACAUCAUGAAACCAUCUAUACAUUCAUAAACACGAAUGGUCUAAUGCCACACUCCACUUCUACAAGCCAUUUUCGCAUGGCUGUACACUUAUACAUUUCAUAAAGUACUCGAAAAACAACAAUGGGUAGUCCUAUACAUGCCAUAUCAAGAUUCAACCAAAAUAGUACCCAAAAGAGCCUUUGAUAGUGUGGGCGACUUCGACUUCAAGAUCCCGAGUCCGAUAGCUGGAGAACCAAAAAAAUCUAUAAAACAGAGGAGCAAUGUAACGAGUAAGCAAUUUAUGCUUAGUAAGUUUGAGCAAGGAAUUCCAGCAUAAACAAAGAAUAUCACACAUUUAGCUAAACGAAAUAUUUCAUAAUACGCAAUUUAUCGAUAUUAAACUUGCUUCACAUCAUUAACAACCCUUAUGCACAUACACAAUAGACUAACUUAGCCGAAGGCCGAUAGCUCGUUUAUCAACUGAGCGAACAUUUAUUUGUAAGGGCUCGAUUAAAUUCAACACAUACGUAACAUAUCCCCAUAUUGGGAUGUUUUUCGAGUAUUCGCUGGAAUUUUACAGCAAGCUCAUUCAUUACCAAAUCACGUACCUUCGGGAUUUAACCGGAUAUAGCUCCUCGUUCAAAUGCCUUCGGGACAUAGCCCGGAUUUAGUAACUCACACAAUGCCUUCGGGACAUAACCCGGAUUUAACAAUUCGCACGAAUGCCUUCGGGACUUAACCCGGAUUUAACAACUCGCACGAAUGCCUUCGGGACUUAACCUGGAUUUAGUAUCUCGCACAAAGGCCUUCGGAUCUUAAUCCGGAUAUAUUCACUUAGCACAAAGCCUUCGGGACUUAGCCCGGACAGCAUUCAAUUAAUCAUGCACAUCUAACAAUAAUUCAUGGCACAUUCAUAUUUCAUUUUCGUUUACGAAACUCAAACACAAGGCACAUAUUGUCCUUGCACAUUCGGCUCAAUAGCCACACAUAGAGCAUGAUUUAAUCACAUCAAAAUUUAAGCUCUCUUACUCAAGAACUUACCUCGGGUGUUGUCGAACGAUUCCGCUAGCUAUUCAACCACUUUUUCCUUCCCUUUAUCGGUUUU